RNAcentral lists this ribosomal RNA (305 nucleotides) under uncultured bacterium. Its description in RNAcentral is "bacterial SSU rRNA". It matches the Rfam family "Bacterial small subunit ribosomal RNA", at positions 335 to 637 of the family's 1533-position model. The record is from RNAcentral.
UCGCCUACGGGGCGCAGCAGUGAGGAAUAUUGGUCAAUGGGCGGGAGCCUGAACCAGCCAAGUCGCGUGAGGGAAGAAGGUACUGAGUAUUGUAAACCUCUUUUGCCAGGGGACAAAGGCGGCCACGGGUGGCCGUAAGAGGGUACCUGGAGAAAAAGCAUCGGCUAACUCCGUGCCAGCAGCCGCGGUAAUAUGGAGGGUGCGAGCGUUAAUCGGAAUUACUGGGCGUAAAGCGCUCGUAGGCGGUAUGUCAAGUCAAGGGUGAAAUCCCCGCGCUCAACGUGGGAACUGCCUUUGAAACUGGC